GACGAACGCUGGCGGCGUGCUUAACACAUGCAAGUCGAGCGGUAAGGCCCUUUCGGGGGUACACGAGCGGCGAACGGGUGAGUAACACGUGGGUGACCUGCCCUCAGCUCUGGGAUAAGCCUGGGAAACCGGGUCUAAUACUGGAUAUGACUCCAUGACGCAUGUUGUGGGGUGGAAAGCCUUGUGCGGCUGAGGAUGGGCCCGCGGCCUAUCAGCUUGUUGGUGGGGUGANGGCCUACCAAGGCGACGACGGGUAGCCGGCCUGAGAGGGCGACCGGCCACACUGGGACUGAGACACGGCCCAGACCCCUACGGGAGGCAGCGAGUGGGGAAUCUUGCGCAAUGGGCGAAAGCCUGACGCAGCGACGCCGCGUGAGGAUG
Molecule: ribosomal RNA, 381 nt
Filed under: uncultured bacterium
Lineage: Bacteria
Description: bacterial SSU rRNA
Rfam family: Bacterial small subunit ribosomal RNA
Source: RNAcentral